Molecule: long non-coding RNA, 6586 nt
Organism: Pan troglodytes (chimpanzee)
Lineage: Eukaryota; Metazoa; Chordata; Mammalia; Primates; Hominidae
Exons: 4
Source: RefSeq, a predicted model, not a curated record
UUUCAAAAUCACUCUUUCCAGAAAAGUAGGGUGUGUGACUCAGAUUUCCACCCGAAGGUGGUCCUUGAGAGAAGGUCUUAGAUGUUUAGAAGAGGUUAUGUUACAUUCUUUGGUAUCACUUAUUAUUUCCUUCAGGCAAACCACAUGUCAGAGGACUUCAAUCUGAAAAUGACAACCACAGUUUCCUAUUAGACAAGAAGUGACAGGUUACCGUAAUCCAGAUGUCCUUGAAGUUAGAAGCACUUAGGAAAACUUUUGCUUUGAGUGCAUUGUAUAGGACCACAUUAACAGAUGGAGUCUGGAUCUGUAGCCCAGGAUGAAGUGCAGUGGCAAGAUCUCGGCUUACUCCGCCUCCCAGGUUCACACCAUUCUCUUGCCUCAGCCUCCUGAAUAGCUGGGACUACAAGCGCCCGCCAUCACGCUCGGCUAAUUUUUUGUGUUUUUAGUAGAGACGGUGUUUCACCGUGUUAGCCAGGAUGGUCUCGAUCUCCUGACCUCGUGAUCUGCCUGCCUGGGCCUCCCAAAGUGCUGGGCUUACAGGUGUGAGCCACCGAGCCCGGCCUUCAAGUUCCCUUCUUUUACAACCAUUACCGCAGGCCAGCCUAGCUCACAAGUUUGACAGUUUGGGAGUUCUGCUAUUUUUAUGUUUAAGUUUUGGGUCUCAUCCUCAGCUUUCUCUACCUACCACUUAUGGGAGAUAACAGCUUCUUUAUAUGCUACAAAGAAAGAAUUGUAGCUUUCACACAUUCAGUCCUUUGUUAUAUUUUCCAAAGGUUAAUUAAGCUUGGCAAGGGACAUCCAAUUUGACAAUCUUUAUGGUUAUCAUUUAUCCUGUAUUUAAUCAAAUGCUUGACAUAUUACACAAGCUAGUGAAUUUGUGUCCACUGGUUUACCAUCUCAGUUUACCCCUGAUGAAAACUUUAAUAAUCAUAUGGCUAUCUUGGCUACCUAUGCCAAGGACUAUCUGAGCUUCACCUACUAUACUGAUGGGAUCCUUACUGCUAGUAAGGUGGUACAUAAUUCAGCUUCAAAAUUCCACCAUUAUGUCUGUUUUCUUUAACCACGUCAAAGGUCAACUCCUAUAGGAUAGGGGUUGGAGAGACCCUUGCAACCAGGCCGAGAUGAAAAUUAGCAUGCUGUUUUAUUAGCAAGUGCAUUCAGAGUCACAAGGGAAGGGAGAGAAGAGGAAGAAAGGGAAGGAAAGAGGAAGACGAGGGAAGGGAAGGAAGUAGUCUCAGACUGAGGGAGUAAUUAGGCUGCAUGCAGUCUCAAAACCUUAGUCAAUCUCAUAGAGUUUUAAAUUUAGAAUAACACUUGUGAAUAUCACAAGUUGGGUGAGGGAGCCAGGAAUUUAUACCCCUUUGUUAGUCAGUCAUUAGAAAUGGGCUACCCAAUGAAGGGGACAUGACCUCAGGUGACUCUUUAGCCAAGACAAUUGUAAAUCAGACUGGUGGCUGGGAGCUGUUCGCUGACUGCACUCCGAGCAACGAAGGAAUGAAUCCUUGAGUCUUGAAGAGUAAUCUGCAUGGCGCAUCUGAGUUUCCAGUGCAAAUACCUUCCAUGUCAGUUGCUAUGAAAUAGAUAGGAUGAACAGAUAUUGUCCAAACAAUACUGGGUGAUAUUACAGUCAUAUUUUAUUUGCUUAACGACUUGCUGUUGAAUAAGUGAAUAACUCACAUAUAUGCUUUUAGGAAUUCAAUAUUUGGUUAUAUCCAGUCGGCAUGCUGGUCCAAGACAGAUCAAUACAUCCAAUAUAAAAAUGAAAACUUGCAACUAGUGCAUAGCUUGAGGACAGUAUCUAUGUAUAGAAACACAAUGUGUUCAAUUUGGCCAAAGCAAAUUUGUAAGACUUUGAGAGAUUGCACACUUACUGUGUCCAAAAAACCCCUGAAAGACUGAACUGUAAAAGUAGUAUCUAUUUUAUGGCAAUAAGGUAUACUAUUCCUAGAUAACAGGAAUCAGUUAAAUUGAAUUUGAGUUUUUCUAGCACCUAGAAAUUACUUCAUAAUUCUAUUAUCACUAAGUGCAGUAAACAGCAGGGUGUAGAAGAUGUCUAAAAUUUAAUUGGAGAGCUCUAUUAAGAGAUAAAGAAGACAUAAGCCAGGAAACAGACAUUGAUUAUAGUCCAGAAAAUUGAGCUUAAGAGGGGGUUAAGUAAAUUAGAAUGAUAAACUUAAUACGUUCUACUAGUUCUAUGAUAUGUCAAUUGUACUGUGAGAAAACUGUUCUGUAGUCAGGAAAAUUUACAUUUCACUAAGUUAAGUAAAAUUAAUUAUUACCAUUAACUAUAAGGACAAAUUUAAAUUUCAAGACUGAAGGAUUCACUCCUUAUAGUUAAGUAAAAUUAUUACUAUUAAGUAAAUAACUAUUGCUACUUACGUAGUACUUAAUAGCAAUACUUAAUUUUACUUAACUAUAAGGACAGAUUUUCUUAACUAUAAGUACUUGCCAGACUCAAAUAUUUUAAAAUACUCUGUUAGCACAAGGCUUUUAAGAAGCAGAUGUCAAGAUGGGAUUAGAUGUACAAGAGAUAAUUUUCGUAUUUAAAAAAAAAAAACCCCAUGAAGUCUAAAGGGGAUGGUAGCAGGAAAAUGCAGGAAGAGCUUUUCUAUCAUGGUGGAGUUACGACAUCCAUGAAAGGUGAGAUGGAAGGAAGGAGGAUUGGGUAGAAGAGCUUCAGAGAAAGUGUCGUCCAGACAAUGUGGAGACCCUGGAACAAAGCUGUCAGUCAGAGGAGUCCUGCAUGGCGGGUAAUAGUCUGGCUCUAGUACUCUUGCUGUGUCCAAUCACAGGCUGAGCAUAACCCUGGAGGAAGUGUGGGCUUUGGUAUCAAGGCCUUGAUGGAUCUGAAGUUGCAGUAGCUGGAGUCUGUCUACUGCCUUUGUUGUCGCAGUUUCUCUUAAAAGGAAAUCUGACUGGCCACAGUUUCAUGACCACUACAUAUGGUAAUAUGCUAAUACGCUAUGAAUUUAAAGGAGAGGGAUACAGAAAGCUCUCUCCAAAAUUAUUUUUGGCAACAUAGCCCUUAUAAAUGAGUGCUCUGUGACUUGGACAUCUGGUGUGAAGAAGAUAAAAUUGUUUUAUUUCUAUUUAGAGUAACAUAUAACAAAAUUUACUAGUCAGGUUUUUUACUAGCAACAGAAUAAAAUAAAAAUAGAUGCUGUCACCAAAGUAAAAAUAUAUAUUGUGAAUUAGCAAUAUCAUCUGACAUACUGUGUGUUCAAAGGGUAAAAAAAAUUACUUAUUAAAUACACUUCAGAAUUUCAAAUCCCAUAUUAGAUGAAUACGUCUUUCUCCACAAAACUCUUUUUCUCCCUAAAUUUUCAAAUGUGUCACUUUCUCUUGGAUCUCCCCUUAUAUUUCUCACUUAAAAAAAUAGCGGAUGGUUCACUUUUAUUACUACCGAGUUUGUGCUUACAGUUAAAACAGUUUAUGCAUUUCAGUUCUUAAGAGAGCCUUAUGUAUAGAAAAUCUUUAUAAAAAACAAUAGUAAGAUAUACCUUUACAGAUGGACGUUUGGAAAAGAUCUAAGUACUUGCACUACAAAUCUUUGAUUCCCUAGUAUGUCAUUGUGGCUGUUCAUACUUCACGCUGUGAGGUGUAUAGUUAGCUGACAGCCUCCCUCGUACCCUCACCCUAACCCCCAAUCUUGUGCUGAAUGCAACCCAUUCUUCUAGCAAGAUGCUUUGUGUCAGGGAAUCCCUAUCCAUUUGGCCAAAAGUUUCUUAAAACAGAGCUCUAGUCUGAAACUCUUUCUGCUCAAUCCUGCUUUCCCCCUUUCUCUUCCAAAGGCAUUUCCCUUAACAAAUGUCUUGUAUGUUGAAUCCCAAAUUGCUAUCUGCUUCUCAAGAGGAUGCAAAAUAAUAGUCACUUAUAUGUAAAUAUUCUCUAGCAUUUUAUAUUUCAUUGUCUUCUUUUCUAAUUCUGUUCUUUUGUUACUUUACCAUUAUUCCAUUAGAAAAAAAAUCCCAAACCCACUGCAUAAGAUCUUUGGGAGCAAAUUCUGUCUCUGUCUCCACCUGUUAACUAGGCUUAAGAAGAGCCAGAGGUAAUACUUCAGUGGUUCGGGAGCUCUCUGAAUUGUGCCUCCAUUCUGGAUCCCACACCAUUGACACAGCAUCCUUGUACCUGGAUUCAUCCUCUCUGUUGUGCCCUUUUGGAAUGAUAUCUAGGUUGGACUACAUGCUUAGAUUUUGGGUUUUUUUUCCCUGGCUUUUUUUUUUUCAUUUCUAGGCAUAGUCUCUUCAAUAGCUCACAGUUCUCUACUCUCAAGUUGGUGGUCCAGACUUGUUUUUCAUUUCCAAUCAGUUAUCAUUUAUCAAUAUCUGUAUAUUCAUUAUUUGAUUUUCUCUUAUCUGUUCCCACAACUAUUGCCUUAGGUUCAGCCUUCAUCAUGACUCACCUGCACCAUUGUAAAAGCCUCCUUGUUUGUCAAAAGGCCUGCAUUCAUUUCCCUUCAUCUGUUCUUCACUUUUCUGUGAGACUAUUUAUUUUCUAAACAAAACUAAUCAUUUACUUCCAGGCUUAAAAUCAUCUGCUGGCUCUCCUUUGCCUAGUUACAUGAUCCAAACCCUUUGUGAUGGUAUCUGAACUUUUUGACCAAUCCUUCAUCGUUUCUUUCUGCUUUAUUAUUUACCACUCUUCCACUCACUUUAUGCUUUAGUAUAACAGAACUAUGUCCAGCUCCUAGAACAUGACAUGCUCUGUCACGCCAUUGCAUUUUUGUGCAUGCUGUUCCUUAAGUUUAGAAUUCUUUUUUUCCUUCUUAUGUUCCCCCAAAACUAUUCAGAAUUCAGGGGUCAAUUAAACAUCAUCACCAUUUUGAAACAUUUUUGUACUUUCUCUCCUAGCCAUAAACUUUGUAACCACCUUCUUCUGUCUUGUAACCGCCUUUCUUUCUCCUAUUCAUAAACUUCGUAACCACUUUCCUCUCUCUAGGCCGCCAUAGUUAGACAUUUGUGCAGUAUCCUGUUCUUGCCUCUAUUGGAGCCUCUACAUAGAGCCCACCAUAAUGUACAUUCAUUUACUUGUCUGCUUCCUUUACUAAUCUGUGAGUUUCUUGAGGGUACAAGCAAGACUUAUUCAUUUUGGUCCCCAAAAUGGCAAGGACUUUGCAAAUAGAAGACGGUUAAAAGCGCUGAGUAAACUAUACCUUUUGUAAUAGUCCGUUCUCAUGUAGUUAUGAAGAAAUACCUGAGACUGGAUAAGUUAUAAACAAAAGAGGUUUAAUUGACUCAUAGUUCCACAUGGCUGGCGAGGCCUAGGGAAAUUACAAUCAUGGCUGAAGGCAUCUCUUCACAGGGCAAAAGGAAAGAGAAUGAGUGCCAACAAGGCAAUGUCAGACAGUUAUGAAACCAUCAGAUCUUCUGAGAACUCGCCCACUACCACUCGCCACUACUAUCUUCUGAGAACAGCAUGGAGAAAACCACCCCCAUAAUUUAAUUUCCUCUAUCUUGUCCUGCCCUUGACACAUGGGGAUUAUUACAAUUCGAGGUGAGAUUUGGGUGGGGACACAGCCAAACUAUAUCAUCUUCUCUUGUAUGGUUAUGCCAAGGAAGACAACGAUUUUCACUAAAGAAAGUUGAGGGCCCAAGAUGAGAAAAAGAGCACAAUGCUUACCGAUGAGUCUUAAUUUAUAAAAAGGAAAAAUCUAACAAAAGAAUAAAUAGUUAAAAAAAGAAAAUUAUAGACAUUGCCUUUUUAUGAAUGCUUUAAUCAAGUUACAGAAAGCUCCUGUGGAAUAAUGCAUAUAAGAUUUUUUAACCUCAUUUUUCUAUAAAGUAGUAAAGGAUUCCUGUUUAUUCUUAAAUAAUCAGAAACAUAAAGGAUGUGGCUUGUUUUGAAGCAUGAACAUUUGCAUGGUUUUGUCAAGAGGUCUAGGUUUGGCAGGCAAUCUCCAUAAUAAAUUUUCCACAAGCAGUUAUGGGUCUGCUCUUAGCAAGCCAAAUAAUAACUACUCAGGAAGGACUAGAUUUACAGCGGACCUUAAAAUGGAAAAGUGAGCACAUCCAUUGUACUCUGAAGAUUCAUUGAAUACAAAUAGAAGAAAGAUAUAUUAGAAAAUCAACUUUAGUGACAUUUCAGAAUUUGCAAGUCAAAAACUAAGAUUCCUUAGUAGAUAGAAUAAAGGAAGGGGAACACAGAUACAUACAGUAGUGUUAGCAUUAAAGGAUUGUCGGACUAUGGUCUCUGUAUUCAUAGGGAGCCCACAGGUGCUCCAGAGAGUCAGGGUUGAAGCAAGCAUUGCCUUUCAUUUUUUUUCAUGGGCAGGAAGAGAUUCCAGAUUCUACUCAUAAUAAAAAUUCUUUCUUAGUUUAUUUUCUCCUUAAUUGAAAUGAAAUUCACACAAUAUAAAAUUAACCAUUUUAAAGUGAACAAUUCAGUGGCAUUUAGUACACUCACAAUGUUCCAUAAGCCUUACUUAAAGCCAAAAUAUUCGUAUUACCCAAAAAGGAAACCCCAUGCCCUUUAGGAAGUUCCCUUAGGCUUUCCUUCCUUCAGUCCUUGGCAACCACUGAUUUCUGUUCCAUCUCUACACAUUUACAUAUUCUGGAUGUUUCCGAUAAAUAUAGUCAUAUAAUAUGUU